AUUGUUUUAUACAAUAUACAAUGUAUAUUCACUUUUACUACCAACUGAUAGAUUAAAACAAUCUUUACCAUUCAGUAAUAACAAGCACUUUUUUUACAUUUUAAUAUUUUAUGAUGUAUUUAAAUGAGUAGUUAUUGUUGCAAACUUCAUUAGAAAUUUGAAUUGAGAUCAGUUUUGAAAUAAGGGAAAGGGGGAUGUGAAAAAAAAAUUGGGGGGUCAAUUUUUUUCAUUUCAGAUUUCAUAAAUAAAAAGAAAAUUUAUUCAAACAUUUUUUUGAGAGGAUUAAUAUUCAACAGCAUAGUGAAUUGCUCAAAGGCAAAACAAAAAUUUUAAGUUCAUUAGACCACAUUCAUUCUGUGUCAGAAACCUAUGCUGUGUCAACUAUUUAAUCACAAUCCAAAUUUAGAGCUGAAUCCAGCUUGAAUGUUGUGUCCAUACUUGCCCCAACCGUUCAGGGUUCAACCUCUGCGGUCGUAUAAAGCUGCGCCCUGUGGAGCAUCUGGUUUCAAAU
RNAcentral lists this long non-coding RNA (511 nucleotides) under Mytilus galloprovincialis (Mediterranean mussel). The record is from RNAcentral. Lineage: Eukaryota; Metazoa; Mollusca; Bivalvia; Mytilida; Mytilidae.